Molecule: ribosomal RNA, 542 nt
Filed under: uncultured Tessaracoccus sp.
Lineage: Bacteria; Bacillati; Actinomycetota; Actinomycetes; Propionibacteriales; Propionibacteriaceae
Description: bacterial SSU rRNA
Rfam family: Bacterial small subunit ribosomal RNA
Source: RNAcentral
CAUUCCACGUUCUCCGUGCCGCAGCUAACGCAUUAAGUACCCCGCCUGGGGAGUACGGCCGCAAGGCUAAAACUCAAAGGAAUUGACGGGGCCCCGCACAAGCGGCGGAGCAUGCGGAUUAAUUCGAUGCAACGCGAAGAACCUUACCUGGGUUUGACAUAUGCCGGAAACAUCUAGAGAUAGGUGCCCCUUUAUGGUCGGUUUACAGGUGGUGCAUGGCUGUCGUCAGCUCGUGUCGUGAGAUGUUGGGUUAAGUCCCGCAACGAGCGCAACCCUCGUCCUAUGUUGCCAGCGGGUAAUGCCGGGGACUCAUAGGAGACCGCCGGGGUCAACUCGGAGGAAGGUGGGGAUGACGUCAAGUCAUCAUGCCCCUUAUGUCCAGGGCUUCACGCAUGCUACAAUGGCCGGUACAAAGAGCUGCGAACCUGCAAGGGUGAGCGAAUCUCAAAAAGCCGGUCUCAGUUCGGAUUGGGGUCUGCAACUCGACCCCAUGAAGUCGGAGUCGCUAGUAAUCGCAGAAGAGCAACGCUGCGGUGAAUACG